CAGUUCUCCCUGCUGGAGAAGAAGGAAAGGACGGUUACAGGAAUGCGAUGAAGGGCUGCUGUGUAACAGUUAGAGUUAUAAACAAGUUACCUCUGGCUCAUCUGCAGAGAGAGGAGAAUAACAUUCGGUGCUGAGCAGUGGAAAAAUCCCAUUAAAAGGCGUGGGGUCCAUGUCAGCUGCAUGCCAUGCCCAGAAGUGAGACCUUUCCUUCAAAAUCCACUGCCUCAAGGCAUUGUCACUCUCCCCACCUGGAAGUGGCUUUUCGGGGGCCAUAUGAAUGUUUGGCGCUGGAUUCAGGCCACUGAUCAUCUGAGUGUUGGGAGCACGGUUAUCUCUGUACCAGACGCAGCGAUUCCUGUUUGUCGAAAUUAGUGCUACAGCAAAGAUCCCCUGUUCUUCCGAAGAAAAAUUGGAAGGGGGUGGCAUUUCGGUGUAUUGGUACAGGAGAAGGGCAGAUGAAGGGCUCACCUGCAUUAAGAAAUGCUUAAAUGAUCAGAAUGUAAGUAAGUUUGCUUGCAAAGCCGAGACGCACGGCCUGGCGCUAGAAAUCUACAACGUCCAGCCGGAUGAAUCUGGGGACUAUUACUGUGCAGUUAAAUCCAGCAGCCAUCUGAUUUUCAACAAUGGAUCCACACUGAUUGUUGGGGACAGCUACACCACCAGCAGCUGGGUUUUGCUUCUGGUUCCAUCCCCACUUGGCCUCAACUCCCCUGGGA
Pelodiscus sinensis (Chinese soft-shelled turtle) is the source of this 716-nucleotide non-coding RNA. The record is from RefSeq and is a predicted model, not a curated record. Lineage: Eukaryota; Metazoa; Chordata; Testudines; Trionychidae.